AAACGUUUUCUGUAUCCAGGAUUAGCCUAAAUCCUUUGGGAUAAGGUAUCAUGGAGGGUGAGAAUCCCGUUCAUGGUUAAUCUUAAGGAAGCUCUACGAUACGUUUUCCAAGAGUCGAGUUGUUUGGGAUUGCAGCUCAAAAUGGGAGGUAAAUUUCUCCUAAGGCUAAAUAUUGGCGAGAGACCGAUAGCGAACAAGUACCGUGAGGGAAAGAUGAAAAGAACUUUGAAAAGAGAGUUAAACAGUACGUGAAAUUGUUGAAAGGGAAACGAUUGAAGUCAGUCAUACCAACGGGAAAUCAACCUUUUGAGCUUGGUUUCGUGGGUUUUGAGGAGUUUCAAAGCCUUCGGAUUCGCGAGAUUGGGAUCUCUUGGUGUACUUUUUCGCACGGUUAGUCAACAUCGGUUUUGAAUGUCAUAAAAUGACUGGAGGAAUGUAGCUUCGAUCUCGUAUUGAAGUGUUAUAGCCUUUGGUAGAUGUGAUGUUUGAGACCGAGGAUUGCAACGGAUACCCUUUAGGGCUAUUCGUCUGAUCUCUGAUACGUUGCCCAGAUGUUGAAAGCUUGC
RNAcentral lists this ribosomal RNA (566 nucleotides) under uncultured Glomus. Its description in RNAcentral is "partial large subunit ribosomal RNA". It matches the Rfam family "Eukaryotic large subunit ribosomal RNA", at positions 156 to 637 of the family's 3401-position model. The record is from RNAcentral. Lineage: Eukaryota; Fungi; Glomeromycota; Glomeromycetes; Glomerales; Glomeraceae.